GGCUCGGUAGCUCAGUUGGCAGAGCAGAGGACUGAAAAUCCUCGUGUCGGCGGUUCGAUUUCGUCCCGAGCCACCA
This 76-nucleotide transfer RNA is filed under the name Hydrogenibacillus schlegelii. Its description in RNAcentral is "tRNA-Phe". It matches the Rfam family "tRNA". Rfam says of the family: Transfer RNA (tRNA) molecules are approximately 80 nucleotides in length. Their secondary structure includes four short double-helical elements and three loops (D, anti-codon, and T loops). Lineage: Bacteria; Bacillati; Bacillota; Bacilli; Thermicanales; Thermicanaceae. The record is from RNAcentral.